UCUUCCUCCUGUCGGCGGGAGGUGUGGAUCACCUACUGCGUGCGGGGAACAAACGCCGCCCCAGUACCGGUCCCUGCAGCGGAGUAGCCUUCACCUGCAAGGUGAACGCCUGCUCACCACGUAAUCCCCAAACGCAGAUAUCACGUUGUCUCUGCAACUUUCCCUGACAACCACCCAAUGCAAUUAAUUAUCCCACAAUAGUAUCUCCCGCAGGCUCUCUGUAGAACCAUAGAAUUCAUCCAUCAAAAUACAAUCAUUUGUUGAUCCGUCUCUCUCUGCCGCCCCCAAAUGUGAAUUCCUUGAGUCAGAGACUAUUCUACUCAGCAAAACAUUUGUGAGUGGAAUUAAAUUGAAAUAAACCGUUAUAGUCCACUCACAGAUGGAAAACACAUAGUAAAAUCCUAGAAUUCCAUUUCUCCCCUGAAAAUUUCCCAGACAGUCAGAGGGAGUUUCAUUCUUUCCUGUUUACUUUUCUCCCAAAUAGGCCUUCUGAGGCAGCAGAAUAGGGAAGGAAGUCAGAAGACUGACCAGCUCAUACCUAUGGAAUGCCUAUCAUACAUACACUUAAAAUUAUGGCAAGCUCACGCAGGCGCACUAAGAGAGAAAAAACAAGAAAACAGAUAUGACAAUUAUAGGAAAUCCCCUCCCUAGAGUUAAAGAAGUGUAGGAAGUGGGUAUAAAAGAACAAAGGCUAUAUUAAUCCAGGGCUGACACCACUUGAAGAUAAGCCCGUUCCUCUCUCUGGGUCAAGCCUGCAAUACCUAAAGCUCCAGACCUGGAACCCAAAGCUCCCAUCAGUCGCUACCCUGUGAACCUGUGGAGGAUCUGAAGUACCUGUUUAAAAGGCAUCCAAAAGAUAGAAUCUAUCAAGCUACAAAUGGCUAUGUUGCCUGAAGCCCCAGACAUCAUCCUACAAGAAAUAAGUCCAGACUUCUUAAUUUCCCCCUGGAUAGAGCAGGGUAAGAGUUCUGUGGUCCCCUGUUAGGUGGGGCCAGCAGUCCCACUCAGCUGGAAGCAAGUAUAGAAGAAAGAACUUCAACCCUCAGCAACCUAUUAUGAUUUAUGGGGAUCACAUCUCUCAGAGGGAAUUGAGGCAGGAGAAUAGGGAAGGAAGUCAGAAAAUCAACCUGCAGCCUUUUCUCACCAAAACAAGCAUAAGGCACCAUCUGAUAAGGAAGCUGAAGCAAUGAACCAAUGCUUUCUGCAGUAAACAAAUCUGGUAUAACCUUUUAUUAUAAUAAGUUACUUAAAGCCCAUACAUAUGGAAUGCAUAUCAUACAUACACUUAAAAUUAUGGAAUGGCAAGCACAUGCAGGCGCACUGAGAGAGAAAACCAACAAGAAAACUGAUAUGUCAAUUAUAGGCAACCUCCUCCCUAAAAGUUAAGUAAGAGUAGUAAGGUGGUAUAAAAGAACAAAGGCUAUGUUAACCCAGGGCUGAUACCACUCGCGGAUCAGCCCAUUCUUCUCUCUGGAACAUUCUUUGCUUAAUACAUCUUGUGGGGUCAUUA
This 1510-nucleotide long non-coding RNA is filed under the name Homo sapiens (human). RNAcentral's name for it is "HSALNT0319724". Lineage: Eukaryota; Metazoa; Chordata; Mammalia; Primates; Hominidae. The record is from RNAcentral.